GCCCAAUGAUGAGAUUUUGGCAUCUGUGAGCUGAAUGACCGAGGUUGUGCUCUAUGAUUGGUGGGUAAUCUUGGCUGAGCAGUGGAGGCUGACUGCCUUGCUGUAAGGGCCCACCUACAGUACUACUAGCAACCAAUCAAUAUUAUUUGCUUCCCAAAGAAAUGGGCCUAGCAAAUUAUUGGAAGCUUACACACACAUUCUCUCUCUCUCUCUCUCUCUCUCUCCUCUCUUUAUUCUUACAGUAGAGUCACAAUUCUGUUUAUGGUCUCACAGCUUUGAGCAUGUUCUUUGGUAAUCUGAGGGCA
Silurus meridionalis is the source of this 305-nucleotide small nucleolar RNA. The record is from RefSeq and is a predicted model, not a curated record. Lineage: Eukaryota; Metazoa; Chordata; Actinopteri; Siluriformes; Siluridae.